AGUGAACGCUGGCGGUAGGCCUAACACAUGCAAGUCGAACGGCAGCACAGUAAGAGCUUGCUCUUACGGGUGGCGAGUGGCGGACGGGUGAGGAAUACAUCGGAAUCUACUUUUUCGUGGGGGAUAACGUAGGGAAACUUACGCUAAUACCGCAUACGACCUACGGGUGAAAGCAGGGGAUCUUCGGACCUUGCGCGAUUGAAUGAUCCGAUGUCGGAUUAGCUAGUUGGCGGGGUAAAGGCCCACCAAGGCGACGAUCCGUAGCUGGUCUGAGAGGAUGAUCAGCCACACUGGAACUGAGACACGGUCCAGACUCCUACGGGGGGCGGCAGUGGGGAAUAUUGGACAAUGGGCGCAAGCCUGAUCCAGCCAUACCGCGUGGGUGAAGAAGGCCUUCGGGUUGUAAAGCCCUUUUGUUGGGAAAGAAAAGCAGCAGGUUAAUACCCCGCUGUUCUGACGGUACCCAAAGAAUAAGCACCGGCUAACUUCGUG
This 492-nucleotide ribosomal RNA is filed under the name uncultured bacterium. Its description in RNAcentral is "partial 16S ribosomal RNA". It matches the Rfam family "Bacterial small subunit ribosomal RNA", at positions 29 to 507 of the family's 1533-position model. The record is from RNAcentral.